UAAGUGGAAAAAGAGUGUGCACCUAACCCACCUCAAAUCAUAUCAGUCACAUUCACCUUACCCUCCCCCCCUCUAGUAAAAAUAAAAAUGAGAUAUAAUCUGAGUAGAAUAUUAUCUGUGAUGAAAACUGUCCUGCUCUCAACCAAUUCUACACUGCUGUAUCCUCUGUGGAUAUCGUAUUGCUUUUUGUAUAAUGACUGCCUGUGCUUUUGCUCACUAAAAUUGUUCUGCUGCUGGACAAUUUUACAGUGCUAUAUCAUCUGCAGUAUCUCAACUCUUGCAGUAAAACCUCUACUCUUGUCUCAAUUACCUUUGGGUCCAGUCUUUCAUAUUAAAACGUGUCCUGCUACUGGCCAAUUUUACACUGUUGAAUCAUCUACUUCUUAAUUAUUGUAGUAAAACACUUGCCUAUACUUUGUAUCUCUACUACAUUUUGUCCUAUUUUCCCUCAUUAAAAGGUCAAUUUUACACUGAAAUGUGCAGUUUAGUUUACAAUCCAGAAAACUGUCUGUGUGACAGGAUAACUGUACUCCCAUUCAUAAAUGUUUCACAGGACCGCACACCAAUAUAUUGAAUCACAAAACAAAUGAUCGCAAACUGGGUUCAGCUGGCUCUCCACCCAACAGGAAAGCCCCUCUAACGUGUUUCUCUCAUUUAGGGCUUAAUCAGAGAGGCAUGUCUGAUUAAGUUCUACCUGGGUGAAUCAUGUUCUUGAUGGGUGGAAAGCCAACUAAAGCUAGUUUGUGAUCAUUUGUUUCAUGAUCCACUAUAUUGAUGUACGGCCCUGGGAAACGUUUGUUGCUAUAUGAACGGGCUUGACAUUCUCUUAUCAGUGACCCAGCACCCAGCAGCGAUGUUUGAACUGGACAGUAUAUCUGACAGGAGCAUAUAAACGGUGGUGCUUUUAAUUUGGUUUAUGUACUGCCAUGCCUGUCUUUAGUAAAUCAACCCCAUAGUCUCUACCCCCAUCUCUCACACUAACUGUAAUCUUCUUAGGUUGGGGCAGUUUCAGAGUCAGUAGCUUUGCCAAAGGAUUCAAAAGAGAGAGUCUCACUCUAUCUGUAAUGAAGAAUUUAUCAGUGAUAGUGGGAUCCUCAUGUAAUGGCCAAGGAAGAUGGGUAGAGCUGGGAACUUACACACAGAUAUCUCUCGAAGAGUCCCCAAGAGAUCUAUAUGGUGGAUUGACGAUUUGUCACAUUUGCCUAAAUAUUAGAAAUCUAAACUGACAAUAAACUCUGAGCUAUAAUAUUUUAUAACCAUUAAAUAAAUAUUGAGGUUUCAAUGAAAUAUGUUGUACCAAUCUAGACCCAAUUAGAGCCCACUGGAAAAGUUUAAGUUAAUUAUUGCUGGAUACAGAAGAUUAAACUAUCCAUUAUGGUGGAAAUAGUAACAGCCACAGGAGAUAUACAAUGUUGUAAUUAUGAUAGUAGGAUAUAUAGAAACAGACGGUAGAUUCUGUAUUGUUCAAGUUGAUCAUAUGAAAACAUAAUGCACAUCUUUCUUAUACUAGUUGUGCUGCUGGUGGCAGUGUUCCAACAACGGAUUUGGAAAUGGAAAGUCGACUGAGUGCAAACCAGCCCGUGCUGCAGAUAUAAUCAACUCAGUUCUAUCAAUAAAGCUAAACUUAGAAGAAAGUUACAAUGACACUACGAGAUCAACAAUUAUUUUCUGUACCCGCUGAAAAUGUUCUUAGAAAAAAAAAGGAAACCAAUGCAACCAGCACCACUAGGAA
This is a long non-coding RNA of Rana temporaria (common frog), 1732 nucleotides long. RefSeq lists it as uncharacterized. The record is from RefSeq and is a predicted model, not a curated record. NCBI's taxonomy places the organism in Eukaryota, Metazoa, Chordata, Amphibia, Anura, Ranidae. The transcript has 3 exons.